GUGCGGGGCGCUCCGGAAGUGACGUCACGAAAGGCGAUAGGGCCCAACCAUGGCGCUAGAGGCCGCAGCACGGCCACCGGAGGAAACCCUGUUGCUCUGGGAACGGUAAUGGGGUCGGGGUCCGCACGGGGGUGGCUUCUCCAAUGACUUUCCGGCCUCACAGCCCCUGUGCAGCUGUAAAACCGAACACCCGGCUGCAACGCAGCGCCACGCUGCCGGAAGUUGCCGCCUGCCUUUGUGGGCGCGGCCUGCGUUUCCGGUCCGCACGGAACAAGCCCGGCUGAAGACGCGCGUGGUGGCCCGGGACACGGAGGCCUGGCAGCGGGACCCCACUUUCUCGGGACUGCAGAGGGUCGGGGGCCUGGACGUGUCCUUCGUAAACGGGGAGAGCUCCCGGGCCUGCGCUUCCCUGGUGGUGCUGAGCUACCCAGAGCUCGAGGUAACCGCUCUGGUAGGCUGCGCACCCAAGGGGACUGGAUCCCGAGACAGCGAUCAGAGCCUGGGUGCAGUUGUGAAAAAGUUUUCUUCUCUUCUCCACCCCCGCGCUCUGUGGUUUCUAGAUUUUUUUUUUCUUUUUUGAUGCUAAAAAGCCUACCCAGGACCUUGAACAUGUCACGAGAUUUGAUACACUUUCACUUCAUUUGUAGAAUUUAAUGUGUAGGUUGGAAUGGAUUUCUAAAAAGCAGAAGCUCAGGAAAUAGGGUAACUGAAGAGUCAAUGUACAAACGGUUGGUGAGAUGGUCAGUGGCUAAGAGCGAAUAUUGUUCCAUUUUAAAUUUGUGUUUAUUAUAUAUUCAGUGUUUAGUCUGCA
Molecule: RNA transcript, 811 nt
Organism: Microtus oregoni (creeping vole)
Lineage: Eukaryota; Metazoa; Chordata; Mammalia; Rodentia; Cricetidae
Gene name: endonuclease V-like
Exons: 2
Source: RefSeq, a predicted model, not a curated record